UACGUAGGUGGCAAGCGUUGUCCGGAUUCACUGGGCGUAAAGAGCGCGCAGGCGGUCGUUCAAGUCGCGUGUGAAAGCCCCCGGCUCAACUGGGGAGGGUCACGCGAUACUGAUCGACUCGAAGGCAGGAGAGGGUAGUGGAAUUCCCGGUGUAGUGGUGAAAUGCGCAGAUAUCCGGAAGAACACCAGAGGCGAAGGCGGCCUGCUGGGCCUUGUCUGACGCUGAGGUGCGAAAGCGUGGGGAGCAAACAGG
Molecule: ribosomal RNA, 253 nt
Filed under: uncultured bacterium
Lineage: Bacteria
Description: partial 16S ribosomal RNA
Rfam family: Bacterial small subunit ribosomal RNA
Source: RNAcentral